This 467-nucleotide ribosomal RNA is filed under the name uncultured bacterium. RNAcentral describes it as "bacterial SSU rRNA". It matches the Rfam family "Bacterial small subunit ribosomal RNA", at positions 329 to 794 of the family's 1533-position model. The record is from RNAcentral.
GGCCAGACUCCUACGGGAGGCAGCAGUGAGGAAUAUUGGUCAAUGGCCGGAAGGCUGAACCAGCCAAGCCGCGUGAGGGAGGAAGGCGCAGAGCGUCGCAGACCUCUUUUGCCGGGGGACAAAAGGCCGGACUCGUCCGGUCCUGAGGGUACCCGGAGAAAAAGCAUCGGCUAACUCCGUGCCAGCAGCCGCGGUAAUACGGAGGAUGCGAGCGUUAUCCGGAUUCAUUGGGUUUAAAGGGUGCGCAGGCGGGCCUUUAAGCGGGGGGUGAAAUCGCGGGGCUCACCCCCGCUCCGCCGUUGAAACUGUGUCCCUUGAGUGCGCGAAGGGUAGGCGGAAUGCGUGGUGUAGCGGUGAAAUGCGUAGAUAUUAGGAGGAACACCAGUGGCGAAGGCGGCUUACUGGACUGUAACUGACGUUGAGGCUCGAAAGCGUGGGGAGCAAACAGGAUUAGAUACCCGAGUAAU